RNAcentral lists this long non-coding RNA (304 nucleotides) under Fukomys damarensis (Damara mole-rat). Its description in RNAcentral is "lncRNA (ENSFDAG00000025479.1)". The record is from RNAcentral. Lineage: Eukaryota; Metazoa; Chordata; Mammalia; Rodentia; Bathyergidae.
CCAAAGGCCAGCUUGUGGCAAACCAGUGCUGAGAAAGCAACCCAGCAUGUUAGGGUUAAGACACCAAGAAGGGUGACAAGUGACGCGGCAGAGUGCUGCCACCUGAAGGUGCUUGGACAAGCCGGCGUGGACUGCCACGUGGCCCGCUUCACUUCCCAAACUCUCCGGUAGAGCUGAACUGGAGGCCAGCAUCGUUGCAUCAGCCAGCCUGUGGCUCUGAGGCAGAGCCGGAGAACCCCAGACCUCAGUAGCCCCUUACGAAAAGGUUCGCUUUCUCUGUGGUCUCCUUAAACCGCUUAACACG